UGGCCUUGACAUAGAUAGAACUUUCCAGAGACGGAUUGGUGCUAGUUUACUAGAGCUAUCAUACAGGUGCUGCACGGCUGUCGUCAGCUCGUGUCGUGAGAUGUUGGGUUAAGUCCCGCAACGAGCGCAACCCUCGUGUUUAGUUACUAACAGUUCGGCUGAGGACUCUAGACAGACUGCCUGGGCAACCAGGAGGAAGGUGAGGACGACGUCAAGUCAUCAUGGCCCUUACGGCCAGGGCUACACACGUGCUACAAUGGGGUAUACAAAGAGCAGCAAUACCGCGAGGUGGAGCAAAUCUCAUAAAAUAUCUCCCAGUUCGGAUAGCAGUCUGCAACUCGACUGCUUGAAG
This 352-nucleotide ribosomal RNA is filed under the name uncultured bacterium. RNAcentral describes it as "bacterial SSU rRNA". It matches the Rfam family "Bacterial small subunit ribosomal RNA", at positions 976 to 1325 of the family's 1533-position model. The record is from RNAcentral.